This is a long non-coding RNA of Chiloscyllium plagiosum (whitespotted bambooshark), 249 nucleotides long. RefSeq lists it as uncharacterized. The record is from RefSeq and is a predicted model, not a curated record. NCBI's taxonomy places the organism in Eukaryota, Metazoa, Chordata, Chondrichthyes, Orectolobiformes, Hemiscylliidae.
UCCGCCCAUACCUGAGUGAGGCCCAACCGGUGUUUGUGUCCUCGAAUCUGAAACGCCUGAAGCAGUAAAGUCUAGGUCCUGAUCUCUUGCUAGAAGACAGCACCAUGAACAACGAUCAGAUCCAGGAGUCCACUCAGAAUUGUCUCCAGGUCAUGAAGAACAUGGCAUAAUUUUUCAGCCCCCGGGAAGUACUCCAAAUCUUGAAAAAAGUACUUACCAUUCUGGAUGCCUGCCGAGCAAUCAUGUAAA